GUGGGUAUAGUUUAGUGGUAGAGUGCUUGCCUAACAUGCACAGAGUCCUGGGUUUGAUACCUAGCACCCACU
This 72-nucleotide transfer RNA is filed under the name Fukomys damarensis (Damara mole-rat). It matches the Rfam family "tRNA". Rfam says of the family: Transfer RNA (tRNA) molecules are approximately 80 nucleotides in length. Their secondary structure includes four short double-helical elements and three loops (D, anti-codon, and T loops). Lineage: Eukaryota; Metazoa; Chordata; Mammalia; Rodentia; Bathyergidae. The record is from Rfam by way of RNAcentral.